AGUUCAUCCGGCUCAGACUUGAACGCUGGCGGGAUGCUUUACACAUGCAAGUCGAACGGCAGCACGGACUUCGGUCUGGUGGCGAGUGGCGAACGGGUGAGUAAUGUAUCGGAACGUGCCUAGUAGCGGGGGAUAACUACGCGAAAGCGUAGCUAAUACCGCAUACGCCCUUCGGGGGAAAGCGGGGGACCUUCGCCUCGUACUAUUAGAGCGGCCGAUAUCGGGAUUAGCUAGUUGUAGGGCAACGCACCACCAAGGCGACGAUCCGUAGCUGGUUUGAGGACGACCAGCCACACCGGGACUGAGGCACGGCCCAGACUCCUACGGGAGGCAGCAGUGGGGAAUUUUGGACAAAUGGGGGAAACUCCGAUCCAGCCAUCCCGCGUGUGCGAUGAAGGCCUUCGGGUUGUAAAGCACUUUUGGCAGGAAAGAAACGGCACGGGAUAAUACCCCGUGCAACUGACGGUACCUGCAGAAUAAGCACCGGCUAACUACGUGCCAGCAGCCGCGGUAAUACGUAGGGUGCAAGCGUUAAUCGGAAUUACCGGCGCAGCGUACAGGCGGUCUUAAGAAAGAAAGACGGAAAUCCCAGAGCUUAACUUUGGAACUGCAUUUUUAACUACCGAGCUAUUGUGUCAGAGGAGGUGGAAUUCCGCGCAGUGAAAUGCGUAGAUAUGCGGAGGAACACCGAUGGCGAAGUAGCCUCCUGGGAUAACACUGACGCUCAUGCACGAAAGCGUGGGAGCAAAACAGACGAUUCCUCGUAGU
This 768-nucleotide unclassified non-coding RNA is filed under the name uncultured Bordetella sp. RNAcentral's name for it is "partial 16S-23S ribosomal RNA intergenic spacer". It matches the Rfam family "Bacterial small subunit ribosomal RNA", at positions 10 to 794 of the family's 1533-position model. Lineage: Bacteria; Pseudomonadati; Pseudomonadota; Betaproteobacteria; Burkholderiales; Alcaligenaceae. The record is from RNAcentral.